RNAcentral lists this long non-coding RNA (2513 nucleotides) under Zostera marina. RNAcentral describes it as "long non-coding RNA (ZMAR_LNC006138)". Lineage: Eukaryota; Viridiplantae; Streptophyta; Magnoliopsida; Alismatales; Zosteraceae. The record is from RNAcentral.
UUAAGAAAUCCGAUCGAAGGCUCAAUGCGGCUAUACAGAAUAGAUCGAUGAACGAUCUUUAGAUGAUAGCACGAGAUCCAAGGAAGAUUUUGCGACGGUGGAAUGAUUUGUGAUGGAAUGGAAGAAGCGCAAUGAUUAGGGUGGAAUUUUAGAUAAAUUUCAUUGAUAAUCCAAACAUACUGUUUUUACAUUUAUUUAUAUCAAUUCUGAAAUUGCAAUAUUUAAACUAGAUAGGGACUACUAAUUAAAUUUUCCCCUUUAUUGAUUUAGCCACUUGACCCUGACCCAAUUUCAUAAUCUUUCAUAUAGGUUGGUCUUCUUGUGGUUCAGACCGGUUUAAGAUGGUUGGACGAGCCAGGUUCAUCCAACAAUUCCCUUGAAUCGGUCUCCCCCUUUCCGAAAGUGAUUUGGUCUUCCUCCUCUGCUCUAUCUCCGACGUCCUCUGCUCCAGACGAAUCGACGACGGCCUGAAUGUCGUUCUUCAUCAUACAGUAACCCAAUGAUAAUGUAUCAUCUCUCCAGCCUUCAAAAUCGACCUUGUCCUCAAGGUUGAUAGUUGGAAAGAACUUUUGGACAUCUUCUAUUGAUUCCCAAGUAGCAUCCUCAGGUAUCGUCCCACUCCAUUGCACCAACACUUGUUCUUUCUUUUUCUUACCUCCUUACAUAAUAAUCCUACGAUUCAUUAUAGCCAUAGGAUAAAUUAAAGAUUUGUUAUCAACUGAUAUUAGAGGCUCCUCAAUAUUACUGUUUUCAGGAGGAGGGCCACUAAAUUUCCUUAAAUUCGAGACAUGAAAGGAAGGAUAGAUCUUGCUCUCAGAAGGUAACUCUAGUUGGUAAGCCAUAUCAUUGAUCUUCUUGGAGAUUUUAUAGGGCCCAAAAUAUUUUUUCCCCAACUUGUUGUAUAGUCUAUGGGCAACAGUAAGUUGCCUGUAUGGUGUUUAUCUCACAAGCACCCAAUCUCCCACAUUGAAAGAAAUUUCUGCUCUUCACUUGUCUGUCUGAAUUUUCAUUUUAUUUUGUGCUAAUUCCAGAUUUUGUUUAAUUUUCUGUAAGGUUUCUUCUCUUAGAUUUAGAUUGAUAUUAACAACCUCCACUGAUGAAUCUCCUUCAGUGUAGUGUGGGAUAUCAGAUGAUUCCUUCCCAUAGAGAGCCAUAAAUGGUGUCAUACCUAGAGAUGAAUGAUGACUAGAGUUAUACCACAACUCUGACCAUGGUAAUGUUGGAUCGUGAUCCGAGACUAUAAGGAGGGAUAAUAGCCUCUUUUCGAUUAGGCAGGUUAAAUGCGAAAUUACAUGCAAAUACUUGAUACACAAAUGGUUGAAUAACAAUAAAACUGAUUAUAAUAUUAUAUCUUACAAUAUAAUAUUAUAUAUAUUUAUACUCUUGUCUUUUCUCUUCAAAGCUUACUACAGUAUAUAAAUACUGAGUCAACUUAUUAGAUAGUGUUUUAUAAACAACUGUAGUAUAUAGAUACUAAGUUAUAUUAUAAGUGCACGUUGUAGUAUUAGAGUAAAAGACCAGUUAACUGGAUAUAAGAUGAUAAGUAAAUAAUUGACCAGAUAACUUGAUAUAUAUGAUAAAUAACUGAUCAGGUAACUGGAUAGAGAUUUGAACAAUAAAUAUAACCUCAGAUACUUGACCAGAUAACUGGAUGAGGGAUCUGCAGAAAGUAGUCAACCUCUAUACUUGACCAGAUAACUGAAAGGGGGAUCUUUUUAAUUAAGUGUUGUUUUUAGAAAAUAAAAUUAAAGUUAACAAAGAACAACACAAAAGAUUUAUACUGGUUCACCCAAACAAGGGCUAAUCCAGUCCCGACAAACUAACAGAAUUCACUGGCCUAAAGGUAAUGGCAAAACCUUAGAGUAUCAAGGAAACUCUUAAAACCCUCUCUAAGCUUUAAAGCUACUUCGCUUAGGAACCAGUCUUUUACGGGUAGACUCGCACCUUAGAGUAUCUCUUAAGAACUUCUAACUUUUACGGGUAAGUUAAUACCUCAGAGUAUCAAAGAACUUUUAAAAACCUCUUUAAGUUUUAAGGCUACUUCGUUUAGGAACAAGUCUUUUACGGGUAGACUCACACCUUAGAGUAUUAUGAAACUCUUAAAAACCUCUAACUUUUACCGGUAAGUUAGGACCUUAGAGUAUUAAGGAACUCUUAAAAACCUAAAAAUCUUUCAAGGUAGAUUCGACCUAAGAGUUUUCCCGAAAACUUUAUAAAACCAAACAAGAGCUUUAUGGUUGAGCUCAAAAACCUUCUCUCACACUUUGGUGAUAUUGAGACAAACCUCUUAACCAAAGUGAACAUACACAAGAGAGGAUUAGAGGAGUGGAAUAUUUAAAACACACAAAACUUCUUACUUGUAAAGAUGAACAAGAAGGUUAGAAGUAGAAGUUGGAGAGCUUUUAAAGCUUUUGGAAGCUUGGACACUUGAGAGCUUUUGAAAGCUUGGAACCUUGGAAGCAAAAACACUUUGCAGAUCUCAAGAUGAGGAGUGAAAAACUCUUUGGAGUGCU